RNAcentral lists this ribosomal RNA (442 nucleotides) under uncultured bacterium. RNAcentral describes it as "partial 16S ribosomal RNA". It matches the Rfam family "Bacterial small subunit ribosomal RNA", at positions 338 to 795 of the family's 1533-position model. The record is from RNAcentral.
CCUACGGGAGGCAGCAGUGGGGAAUAUUGGGCAAUGGGCGCAAGCCUGACCCAGCAACGCCGCGUGAAGGAAGAAGGUCCUCGGGUUGUAAACUUCUUUUCUAUAGGACGAAGAAGUGACGGUACUAUAGGAAUACGCCACGGCGAACUACGUGCCAGCAGCCGCGGUAAUACAUAGGUGGCGAGCGUUAUCCGGAUUUACGGGGUGUAAAGGGCGUGUAGGCGGGAGAGCAAGUUAGAUGUGAACACUCCAGGCUUAACCGGUAGCCUGCAUUUGAAACUGAUCUUCUUGAGUGAUGGAGAGGCAAGCGGAAUUCCUAGUGUAGCGGUGAAAUGCGUAGAUAUUAGGAGGAACACCAGUGGCGAAGGCGGCCUUCUGGACAUUAACUGACGCUGAGGCGCGAAAGCGUGGGGAGCAAACAGGAUUAGAUACCCGGGUAGUC